AUUUUUUUGGGGCGGCUGUACUGUAGUUUACUUUUUCCACCCCUCCUCUUCCUCCUCCCACUAAAAACAAACAAGAUGGCAGCAACCGUUUUUGGUUCUGGGCCGGGCUCAAUGUGGGCGGAGUCAUACUUCGGGGCCGGGCUCAAAGUGGAUGGAAUCAAACGGCGGGGCCGGGCUCAAUGUGGCAGAGUCAUACUUCGGGGUCAGGCUCAAAAUACUUUGGGGCCGGGCUCAAAGUGGGUGGAGUCAAACGCGUUAACCCGAACCCUUCCCGUCUCCUUCAAGGUCACCCAAGUUCUUAAUCGAACCUGACCUACAUGGAUAAAAAUAUAAACCAUAGAAUUACACAUAGCGAGUCUACACAAAGUGUAAAUACAAUAAUGAAAUCACCUGGUCCCAACAUGCAUGGCAAGUCAAGAAAAGUCAUUGUAACUUGUCCACACUGCAAACUGAAGUUAAAUAAGAAAAACUUCAAAACACAUUUACGAAGAAAGCAUACACAUUGCUUUGAAACAGUGUCCAAUGCAAGAUUUUUGUCAGAAACAUUGCUCAGAUCUUGUCCUGUGGACCUUGGAGGACUUUUGUUGUGGAUGAUGUUCAGGAAAACAUGCAGCAAAUUAGGCCAUGGUGGCGCCUAGUUCUCCUGCAGAACUUUCCCAUGCCGAUGAUGUAGAAGACGUCCUCCACACCAAGAAGUCACAGCAUGUCACAUCAGCAUCCAGCUCUGCAGGAUCAGAUGAUACUGAAAACAAAAUGCACGGCGAGCUGUGAACUGGGAAGCAGAUGUUCUUCUAAGGGACACCUUGGAGGCAGCAAGGUGGUGCGAACGCCAAACAUUUAAAGGCACUGUUUCCCUCCCUAGUGUAAUUGGGAUGGACGGGGAAUACCCCAUUACAACCCUUAAAGAACUACGGUGGUAUGAUGGCCUGGAUGAAGAGGAAAAUAUUCUCAAGGAACCAUUCAUGUUACAGAGAAAUUAAGAUGUUCUAUGUGGAGGAAGUUGACAACAAGAAAAUGACUGCCUUUGCCUCUUUUGAGGAGCAGGAGUGAAGCCAUUUUUGAGGAGUGGUCAAACCUUGUUUUUGUCUGCUGUGUUAAUUGUUUCAAUUGUUAAUUGUGUUAAGUUGUUUAGUAAAGAUGACGUUGAAGUCACAAGUCUCUGAUCUCUUUACUGGAG
This 1177-nucleotide long non-coding RNA is filed under the name Salmo salar (Atlantic salmon). RNAcentral describes it as "lncRNA (ENSSSAG00000098920.1)". The record is from RNAcentral. Lineage: Eukaryota; Metazoa; Chordata; Actinopteri; Salmoniformes; Salmonidae.